Molecule: ribosomal RNA, 218 nt
Filed under: uncultured bacterium
Lineage: Bacteria
Description: partial 16S ribosomal RNA
Rfam family: Bacterial small subunit ribosomal RNA
Source: RNAcentral
UACGUAGGGUGCAAGCGUUAAUCGGAAUUACUGGGCGUAAAGCGUGCGCAGGCGGUGAUGUAAGACAGGUGUGAAAUCCCCCGGGCUUAACCUGGGAACUGCAUUUGUGACUGCAUCGCUGGAGUGCGGCAGAGGGGGAUGGAAUUCCGCGUGUAGCAGUGAAAUGCGUAGAUAUGCGGAGGAACACCGAUGGCGAAGGCGGCUCACUGGCCCGAUAC